UUGAAUCCCGACUGUCGCGUAGAUAACAUACAUGUGAGUAUCAUAUAACGUUUUUACCUGAUCCUUUUUAAAAAUAAAUCUGUUAUGUGUUAUAGUUAAUCUAAAUAAAUUAUGAUGUGGUUGAAAUCUUUUCUUGAAUAUUUAUUCUCUAACGAAAGUGUAAUCAUGGGAAAGGGAAUAUUGUAGUGAAUGUAUUUCAUUAGAGCUAAUUCUGUAGCCAUGAGCCUGUAAUCCCAGGUGAAGAAUUCCCAUGUUCGGUUUUGUUAAUCAUCAAAUGUGGCCAAGGGGUGAAUUGCAUUAUUUUAGGGGAACCUCCAUUUCAUUAGUAAUUGCAUGUUAUGUGUUAUCUGCAGUUAAUGUUUUUGGUAUUUUAUUUAAACAUGUUGGAUUGAUACUAACAGAUGAAGCAUUCUGGUGCCAUGCUGUAAGCAUUAGCCAAGUAUAUUAAAUGCAUAAGCCCCAUUAAAGAUUUCAAAUAUUUUAAUUUAUGAUGCAUCAAGAUUUCUUCGUAAAAGGCUAGAUGGUAAGAUUCUAAUAUGAAUAUAUUGAAAACAUUGGAUUGAAGCUUUAUGAUAUGGCAUCCUGGUCCCUGUUUUCAUGCUGAAUAUUACUAGCCAAGCUUACUACCUGUCACCUACAAGGUUGUCAGAAGGCUUCUGAAGAGAAAUUUUUUUCUCUGGGGUGAAUUCACUAAGAUUGGCUGCCAUCAUGUCAUGGGCAAUCAUUUUUUGACUGUAGUAAGAGCUACUGUGGGUUGCCUCAUUUCAGUGUAGUUUAUGGUAUGGAUGACUGGAUGAUAUGUUUGCAGUGAAACAGAACUUUGCUGCUGAUUUGAGGGUUAAUCCUCCAUUGCACAUGCAUGCUGUAUCAUGUACUUCCUAAUUGGCAAUUUUUGGUUGUGGCAUGAUAUUCAAAUGAAAGAUGUUUCAAGAAACAUUAAACCAAUGCUUCAUAAUCAGGCAGCCUGUUGCCAUGCUGUGGGAUGUUAGCUGAACCUCCUUCAAUGUGAAGGUUACUGUUUAACACUUUCAGAUUUUUCAAUGUGUUUAUUUAGGUAGUCAUUUGUUGAGGGUGAAAUUUGCAUUACUUCAGUGAUUUUGACAUGUUGCAGUGGAUGGCUAGGUUGCAUUGAGCCAAAACUCAUGAUGCUGAUUUGAGGGUUAAUUGAUCAUGCAAGCUGUUUCAUGUGGUUCUUAAUCAGAAAUUCUUGGUUUUGGUAUGAUAUUCAAGUAAACAAGGAGUCUAUUAUGCUGUUUGCCAUUAGCUGAUCCUGUUACAUGUUAAAGGUGUUUGGAGCCAUCUCUAAGUGAAGUUUUCUUUUCAAUUUGGUGAACUGGGGAACAACAUGCUGUACCUGGAAUGAAUCAAUCCCCUGAAACACUCCUAAUACAACCAGAAAAAUGCUAUAAACUGUGAAAGAGGAACAGAAAUUAUUCCUGUUUCUUUGUUGUCCCUAAACUUAUAUUUCUUCAUGUUCAAAUAUUUACAACAACAAAAAUGUUGGUAUUGUUUCUUUGUUUUCUGUGGUCAUGUUUCUUCAUGAUUUGUGAUAAACCAGUUGUGCUUAUGUUUUGGGUUUAACAUACUGAUAAUUGUUAAAUCUUCAAUAAAAAAUAUUGAAAAAUAA
This is a long non-coding RNA of Daphnia magna, 1627 nucleotides long. RefSeq lists it as uncharacterized. The record is from RefSeq and is a predicted model, not a curated record. The transcript is spliced from 7 exons. Lineage: Eukaryota; Metazoa; Arthropoda; Branchiopoda; Diplostraca; Daphniidae.